GCCUACGACCAUAUCACCCUGAAUGCGCCCGAUCUCGUCUGAUCUCGGAAGCUAAGCAUGGUCGAGCCUGGUUAGUACUUGGAUGGGAGACUGCCUGGGAGUACCAGGUGUUGUAGGCU
Molecule: ribosomal RNA, 119 nt
Filed under: Petromyzon marinus (sea lamprey)
Lineage: Eukaryota; Metazoa; Chordata; Hyperoartia; Petromyzontiformes; Petromyzontidae
Source: RNAcentral